Molecule: ribosomal RNA, 893 nt
Filed under: marine metagenome
Description: bacterial SSU rRNA
Rfam family: Bacterial small subunit ribosomal RNA
Source: RNAcentral
GUAGUUCGGAUUACUGGGCUUAAAGAGUUCGUAGGUGGUUGAAAAAGUUGGUGGUGAAAUCCCAGAGCUUAACUCUGGAACUGCCAUCAAAACUUUUCAGCUAGAGUAUGAUAGAGGAAAGCAGAAUUUCUAGUGUAGAGGUGAAAUUCGUAGAUAUUAGAAAGAAUACCAAUUGCGAAGGCAGCUUUCUGGAUCAUUACUGACACUGAGGAACGAAAGCAUGGGUAGCGAAGAGGAUUAGAUACCCUCGUAGUCCAUGCCGUAAACGAUGUGUGUUAGACGUUGGAAAUUUAUUUUCAGUGUCGCAGCGAAAGCGAUAAACACACCGCCUGGGGAGUACGACCGCAAGGUUAAAACUCAAAUGAAUUGACGGGGACCCGCACAAGUAGUGGAGCAUGUGGUUUAAUUCGAAGAUACGCGCAGAACCUUACCAACACUUGACAUGUUCGUCGCGACUUUAAGAGAUUAAAGUUUUCGGUUCGGCCGGACGAAACACAGGUGCUGCAUGGCUGUCGUCAGCUCGUGUCGUGAGAUGUUGGGUUAAGUCCCGCAACGAGCGCAACCCUCACUUUUAGUUGCCAUCAUUAAGUUGGGCACUCUGAAAGAACUGCCAGUGAUAAGCUGGAGGAAGGUGGGGAUGACGUCAAGUCCUCAUGGCCCUUACGUGUUGGGCUACACACGUGCUACAAUGGUAUCUACAACAGGAAGCAAAACUGCGAAGUUAAGCAAAUCCUUAAAAGAUACCUCAGUUCGGAUUGCACUCUGCAACUCGAGUGCAUGAAGCUGGAAUUACUAGUAAUCGUGGAUCAGCGUGCCACGGUGAAUGCGUUCCCGGGUCUUGUACACACCGCCCGUCACACCAUGGGAGUUGGUUCUACCUUAAGGCAAGGUUU